AAAACCGAGUGAAAGAAAAAAAAUCAAUUAAAAAAUCAGAUGCUCUCUACUAGGGUUUUAUCCCAACCCCUUUGCGCCGCUGCCCGUUCGCCAUGGUUUCGCCGCAACUAGUGGCCGGAGGCUCGCCGGAUUGGGUUUUUAACCCUUUUCGGAGCAGAUUCGAAGGCAAGGUAAGCCUCACCCCUUUUCCCUUUACUGCUAUUUUUUGUUAAAUAAAAUAAAAAAUACAAAAGAAAUGCAAUCACCUUUUGAAAAAUAUUCUUUGUAUUCUCAAUAUUCUCUAUGUGUUUCUCGUAUUUUACACUGAAAAAAACCCCCUUUUACCGAUUUUCAUGGCUUUAAAUAGCCGAAAUGGAAAAGAUAAAUGAAAUGGAAAAGAUAACUCAACAAAAUCAAAAAAGAGAUCUAUUCUGUUUUGUUGGCAUGAUUUUUGCUAUCUUGUUGAUGCAGGUACUGUUGGAGGAGAAUACGCGCGACGUGGAGGCGCAACUCUCGCGGAAGAGGCCUCUAGCUCCGAGUUGUGCGCCGCUUGGGACUGCUGGAGGUGGGGGCUGCUGCUAGGGUUUCUCAACCCUUCCAUUUUCCAUUAGUUUCGAGCCUGGAUUAGGAAUUAGCUAUUGGGCCCGUUUAUUGGGCUUGUAUUUUUUGUUUGGGUUUAUUCGUUAAUAGGCCAGGCCAAAAUUGGUAUUACAUUUCUAAUAUAUAAAUGUUAUGUGUUUUAUAUGAAAUUGAAGAGAAAGAAAAGAAAGGAAAGGACCUAAUUGAAGAAAAAGUAAAAGAGAAGGCUAAGGAGUGAAGGAAGAUAUCAUCUCAACCUUUUUGUUGUAAGUACUACAAGGUUAUUUUUAUUUUAAAUUAUUUUAUUUAAAUGCCUAUAUUAUAGUAUAGAAUUAUUUAGAAAUAAAAUAAAAUAAAGUAAAAUAAAAGAUUAUGGAGCUAUGAAAUUUGUAAAGAAAAUUAUAGAUGGAAAGUAUAUAGUGGUAUAUUGAUUGAACAUUAAGAAAAUAUUGUGACAAAAGUAUAUAUAUGUGAAAAUGGUGUGAUAAUUGUGAAUUGUGAAAUGUGCCCUAAAUUGUAAUGAUGGAGAAAUGAGAAAUCUUUUUCGAAAUAAUUCUAUAAAGUAUUUAAUUGAAUGAGAUUCAGUUUUAAUGCCCAAGUAGAUGAAAUUUAGAACUACCAGGAUAGUAGUGGCAUGCCAUUAAGGAACUUUAGCGCGCUCUCUGAUUAUUAGCACGUUAGUGCUCUCUGACUACUAGCACGUUGGUGCUCUCUGAUUUUAGCACGUCAGUGCUCUCUGUUUAGCACAUCUGUGCUCUCUGUAUAGCACUUUAGUGCUCUCUGUUCAUUAGUGCAUACCAAUGCACCUCUGUAUUUGUUCCGUAUAUUCGGUGUGUUCUAUAAAAUCUACUUUGGGCUAAGAUUAUGAUUUGUGGAUAAAAGCGAAUCAUUAAAAUGCUAAGGUAAGUUUUAUGAAGCUUAUACGUACAUAAAUACGUAAUAACAGAAAGAGAUUGACAUAUUUUGUUUAUAUUUGUUUAUCAGUUUAUUUCUUGUAGUGCUUACUAAGCCUUCACCGGCUUAACGCGUUUAAUUUUAACGCGUAGGUACAGUUUGUCUCGAAGAGGUAAAGUCAGGAUAGAAGAUCUCUCAUCUCAUCACAUCCUCAAGAGCUUCAAAAGUAGGUACCAUAUUUUGAAUUAAAAUGGCAUGUACAUAGACAGUCAGUUAUGCUUCCAUGUGUUAGGAACUAAAAUGUAAACUCUUGGACUUCUAUAUAUUUUUAAGUACUUUUCGUAUUUUGGUAUAUAUAUGAAAUGAAUUAGUAAAACUAUAUGUAUGUUUGCAAAUAUGGUUGGUAAGUUAAAAUGCUAUGUAUAAAUGUUUUAAUUAAACAAUAUCUAGCUAUAACCGUUUGGCACCAAAUGUAAUAGCCUUAUACUGGGUCAGUACGAUUAGACCAUGUAUAGGGUUGUUACAAUUAUGGAAAUUUUAAAUUUUAAUUAUUUCACAUAAUUUUAACAUUUAACUACAACCAUAUCUAUUAUAUAUAUUAAAACUAAAAUAAUUAAUGCAUACAUAUAACCACAAUCAUAAUUAAUCAAUCAUUAUAAUGCACAAACGAAAGGAUUAUUGACCUAAAUCUACUUAUUUAACUGGGUAGGUAAGGGAUUUGGCCCCUUUAGUUAAAUGGGCAAAUCCUAUUUUUAGUUCUUCCUAAAUCUAUACUAUGUAUAAUGUAUUUAAUUAAGUCAGUGUCACAAGUUAAGCGGAUAUUGACUUAAUUGAGAAAUUACUAAAAGCUCUUUCCUUUUACAAAGAAACAAAAAUUAUUUUAAGGGUAUUUUUAUCUUUUUACAUUUUAUGUAAACACAAACUAUCAUGGUUUUUAGAAUUCUAAAUUUAUCAUUUCAACCAACCUCACAUUUAUUGUAAUGUAAAUUUUUUAUAUAAAAUAUGAUACGAUUUUUUUCCAUCAUUGAAAUUAACUUUAUAGUCUAUUGAAUAAAUAGAAAAUGUUUAUGUUUGGUCCAUCUUAAAAAUUAUAUUUAAUUUAAUUUAAUUUUUUUUAGUAACUUCACCUCACCCAUGUUGAAUGUAGAUAAAAUGAGAUCAUGGAGAAGGAAAAAGAAAAAAAAGUUAAACAGGGAAAAGAAUGUAGAGAAAAAAAGAUGGAAGGGGGAAAUGAAGAAAGAAACAAGAUGUCCCAUUGAUACUCUUUAUCUAUGUAACUUCCGAGUCCCUACUCCAAUAGAAAAUAAUGGAACCCUCUCCCUCCGUCACUUGCUUUUUGAUUCCUUUUUUGUACACAUUUUAAAUUAUGGUUCUCAUAAUAACACCGUGAUAGUGGUAUCGGUACUGGUCAUAUAGGUUAAUUACAUAUUAAAGAUUUAAGUCCUGUUUUUAUAUUUGAUAAACAUUUUCAAAAGACCUCAAAUAAGAACAUUCCUCACAUUUUACUCCAGUUUGUAAUAUAGUUGAGUAUACUAUCAACCAUGGUAUAUUUUCAUGAUAAAACAUUUUAAAUAUAAUAAAAGCAUGAAAAAUAUGUACAUAAAUCCAAUUGUAAUAUCAAUUAAAAAUUUAGACACAAAUAUUUUAUCUCCUACAAACUUGUUUCAAUGCAAUUAAGAUAAAAGGAGGAGUAAAAAAAAAAAGAGAGAUGAUUAGAGAUACCCCUUGGUAAUCUCACAUUAUAAAAUAACUUACAUUUCCAAAGCUUUUACUGUCUUUCACAGGAAGAUGCAAAUUCAUUAUAUAAACAUAGAUAGAAAGCAACCAACACUGUAAAAAACUUACUAAAAUAGCAAUACUAACAUUAUUAUACUUUCAUAAUUUUUUUUAUUUAUUAUUUUUUUUUGGUUUGAGCAAAAGUCUUGGAUUUCAGUGUACUAUUUUUGCUUUUGAUUUUUUAGGGCAUGAAAAUCUUGUUGCCACACUUGCAACGCCAAGCUUCAGGGUAGUACUCGAGUGGCUUCAUAACUAAACCUGGUUGAAUCGGGACGUGAACCGGUUGACAAGGCGAGCAGCUCCCACAGUUGGAUCUACAAGAAGGUGGUGAAG
RNAcentral lists this long non-coding RNA (3561 nucleotides) under Gossypium barbadense (sea-island cotton). RNAcentral's name for it is "long non-coding RNA (GBAR_LNC019561)". Lineage: Eukaryota; Viridiplantae; Streptophyta; Magnoliopsida; Malvales; Malvaceae. The record is from RNAcentral.